RNAcentral lists this long non-coding RNA (6109 nucleotides) under Triticum aestivum (bread wheat). RNAcentral's name for it is "long non-coding RNA (TAES_LNC005079)". The record is from RNAcentral. Lineage: Eukaryota; Viridiplantae; Streptophyta; Magnoliopsida; Poales; Poaceae.
CUAACGAAGAACCGUAUCCGUGCAUCGAACCAUCAGGCAAGCAACCAGCCAUUGAUCAUAUCGAUACAAUCCCAUGUUCUCGCUCCUGCUCUCUUUUACUGCAUUAAGACAACGCGUUUCAAAUUGCUGUGUGCUACGGUAGUUGAACCCAUUUCCUCUGCAUGACCUGUCAUUGCCACAGUAACUAGAUGAAACCCACUAGCAUGUGUAGGAGUUGAUUGAGCCAUAUGUAUGUGUUGUUCCUACCUUGCUAUGCCUGCUAUGCUUAGAGUCGUGUCAGGUCUGGUUCAUCUGGGUGAUGGGCUAGAGUGAAAUGUUAUGUCGGUAAUGAGAGUGGUGUGGUGAACACGAUUUGGUAAAGGUAUCGAUGAGAGGCCAUGUAGGAGUACAUGGUGGGUUGUUUCAUUGAAGCCGACCUUAAGCACUGAGAUCUGUAUGUGUGAUUUAAGAAUCAGCUACUACCAUGCAUUGGGCCCGAAACCAAUGGACCCUCUCGACUUCUUAUUCACCCUAGUUCUCCGUCCAGGAGUUGCAACUAGUUUCUGGUGUUUGUAGCCUACUGGAGGCCGUGGACAGCGCUGACCGUAGGGGUGGGCUGUGAUGCGGUAGGUACGUGGCCGGGUGUACCGAAUACCCGUUAGGUAUCUCGGGAACCCUGUUCACAUUGUUCGGGGCCGUAUGGGAAACCUCGGCCGGACUCCCUGCGGAUGGAACCUGAAUAGGCGAUAAACCUGGACUGGAGGCUUAGGUGAUUAGGUAGGUCGUGGCCGACACCCACGUUGGGCUUCCGCUUGAAGGUUGCCGAGUACAUGUCGUGUAAACGACGAUAAGUGGUGAGAGCGUGUAUGAAGAAGUACACCCCUGCAGGGUUAACAUGAUCUAUUCGAAUAGCCGCGUCCGCGGUAAAGGACUACUUGGUUGCCUAUACAGUUCAUAGACAAGUAAAUGGAAACUACUAAAAGCCUCAAGAUAAGAGUGAGUGCCGAGGAUGGCUCUUCCGUAGGAAGACGGAGGUGGAUCCUCGGUGGUGUAUUGAAGUGGUGAGUAGUGGACUCGUGUGCGCAAAACCAUUUCAAGUUGGAGUAUCGUAGGAUAGCCUAGCCAAGAGUCAAAGCUGGCUUGCUGCAAUAACUCCACCAACCCUUCUUGAUAACAUGCAUGUAUGUAGGAUCUGAUGUAAGACUUGCUGAGUACCUUUGUACUCAUGUUGCUAUAAUCUACAUUUUUUACAGAAGACGCUGCAACCCCUUCUGAUGGGUUCUAUGUAGACGUUGACAUCAACGAGUAGGCUAAAGACCCAGGUGGUGACCCUGAGCUUGUGAAGGACCACGUAGUAUAGUUAGGCUUUCCAAGCCUCUUUUAUUUUACUAGUUGUCUGUACUCAGACAAGUUACUUCCGCUGCUGGUUUGCAUGACUGUAUGACUUGUAUGUUGGGUCGUGAGACCCGUACCUUUGUGUAUGUUAUGUAUGGCUCCCUGAGCCUUAAAUAAAGUACUUGUGUCGUAGAGUCAUGUUGUGAUGCUUCGUUGUAUUUGCACAUAUCGAGCAUAUUGUGUGUAUGAUUGAAAUGCUUGGUAUGUGUGGGAUCUGACUAUCUAGUUGUUUAUCUUUAGUAGCCUCUCUUACCGGGAAAUGUCUCCUAGUGUUACCGCUGAGCCAUGGUAGCUUGCUACUGCUCUGGAACACUUAGGCUGGCCGGCAUGUGUCCUUCUUCGUUCCUGUGUCUGUCCCUUCGGGGAAAUGUCACGCUUUGAGUACCGGAGUCCUGUUAGCCCGCUACAGCCCGGUUUACCGGAGUCCUGCUAGCCCAGUGCUACCGCCCGGACCCACUUGCUGAUGACCGACACGUUCGAAGCUGGGUCAUGGAUGCCUGUCCCUGUAAGUCUGUGCCACUUUGGGUUUACGACUAGUCAUGUCAGCCCGGGCUCUUUAUCAUAUGGAUGCUAGCGACACUAUCAUAUACGUGAGCCAAAAGGCGCAAACGGUCCCGGGAAAAGGUAAGACGACACCCGUGGGGAUACCGUGCGUGAGGCCGCAAAGUGAUAUGAGGUGUUACCAGCUAGAUCGAUGUGACAUCGAGUCGGGGUCCUGACAGCGUUGGCAUCAGAGCCGGACUGCCUGUAGGUUCUCCAAGCCAAACUGGUCGAUGUUGAGUCUAGAAAUUCUUUAGUUAUAUGUAGGGGAAUUGUUUGUGGGUUGGAACGUAAGGCUCUUUUUUUACUCCUUAUACCUUAUGACAUUCUGAUCUGAGUCAGUCCAUUCUUCCACCCCAGCUCGUAUCCGAGCCCACUGACGUGCUCAUCGUGAUCUCAGGAGUCCGUAGCACGCCCCAGCUCCUCCUGCCGUGCUUCCUAACCCCGACCCCGAGAUUGCCCGAACUCCGGCAGCCGCAAAGGAGCUCGCCGCCGGCAGCUCCGGCCACCCCAGCUGCUGUCACUUACCUCUUUAGAUGCGCCUUCCUCCCAGGAACCCGUAGGAGCAAACCGCACGUCAAAUGGUGCUCCGUAGCGAGCGCACGGCGCACCUCCGCUGUCGGCCGUGGUCGUCGCCGGCGACACUCCGGCGACUGCCGACGUGGCACGCCUAAUUAGCACUAAUGACGCUCUAAACACCCCCCCACAGCCACUGACAGUGGGCCCCGUAGUGGGUCAAAGCCCGGGUCAACGCGGGAUUAGCCCCUGUGUCACUGACGUGUGGACCCCACACGUCAGGUUUGACCUGGACCGCCCGUUGACCUGCUGAGGUCAGCAUGAGGUCAUGCUGACGCCAUAAUUCAUUUUCUGGAAUUAUUUUAAUUCUAAAUAUUCAGGAAAUUCCAGAAAAUGCCUAAAACUUCUAAAAAUCAUAGAAAAUUAACCGUAACUCCAAAUUAAAUAAAUUAUAUAUGAAAAAUUAUCAGAAAAAUUCAAGGAAUCCAUCUGUACCAUUUUCAUGCAUGUUAGAACAACUUAUCACUACUGUUUAGGACAAAUGAAGUGAAUGACAUUUAAAUAACCCCAUAUGGAGUUUGAAUUUGAAUUUUGGAUUCAAACCAACUUCAUUUAAUCUGGUUUUAGGUGCAUUAGCCCAAAACACAUUCAUAUUGCCAUGUCAUAGCAUGCAUCAUAUUGUGCAUUGCAUUGAUCGUGUCUUUUCUGUAUUUGCCGGUAAUUGUCCCCUCUCGAUAGACGUGACACCGAUGAUGCGAUCGUUGACACUGACGAAGACUCAAUGUUAUCUUCAGAAGUGCCAGGCAAGCAAAACCCCCUUGUUCAUUCCGAUAAAAUCCCACUCUCUCGCUCCUGCUCUCUUUUUACUGCAUUAGGACAACACCGAAUCAUCUGUUACAUGCUGCGGUAGUUGAACCCCUUUAUCCUCUGCAUGACCUGUCAUUGCCACAGUAAAUAGAUGAAACCCACUAGCAUGAGUAGGAGUUGUUUGAGCCCUGUUGUGCCUACUCAUUCAUGCUUGUUUGUCAUGCCUGCUAUUGCUUAGAGUCGAGUCAGGUCUGAUUCAUCGGGGAUGAAUCAGAGGUGUGUGAACAUGUCCUACUGUGUGUGAGCUAAGUGUGUGAACACGAUUUGGUAAAGGUAGCGGUGAGAGGCCAUGUAGGAGUACAUGGUGGGUUGUCUCAUUGUAGCCGUCCUCAGGAACUGAGUUCUGUGUUUGUGAUCCAUGAUUCAGCUACUACCAUACAUUGGGCCCUGAAAUAUGACCCCGCUCGACUUCUUAUUCACCCUUGUCCUCUGUCCAGGAGUUGCAAGUAGUUUCUGGUGUUUGUAGUAUGCUGGAGGCCGUGGACAGCGCUGACCGUAGGGGUGGGCUGUGAUGCGGUAGGCACGUGGCCGGGUAUACCGGGCACCCGUUUGGUGUCACGGAACCCUGUUCACAUCGUUUGGGGCUGUGAGCGAAACUCCGGCCGGAUCUCCUCAUGGAUGGAACCCGAAUAGGCGAUAAACCUGGACUAGAGACUUAGGUGUUUAGGUAGGUCGUGGUCUACACCCACGUCGGCUUUCGCUUGAAGUCUGCCGAGCACAUGUCGUGUGCAGACGCUAAGUGGUGGAAACAUGUAUGAAGAAGUACACCCCUGCAGGGUUAAAAUCAUCUAUUCGAAUAGCCGUGUCCGCGGAAAAGGACUUCUGGGUUGCUUAUAUCAGUUCAUAGACAAGUGAAAGUGGAUACUCUAAAAUACGCAAGAUAAGCGUGAGUGCUAUGGAUGGCGUUCUCGUAGGGAGACGGGAGCGGAUCCAUAGUGGUGUAUUGAUAUGGUGAAUAUGUGGACUCGUGUGCGCCACCUCAAAAGUUAUUUGCAGUCGUAGUUCAGGUUAGCCACUGAGUCAAAGCUGGCUUGCUGCAGUCAAACUCCACCAUCCCCUUUGUUGAUAAUGAGGCAUAUGUAGAUAGAUCUGAUGUAAGUCUUGCUGGGUACAUUUGUACUCACGUUUGCCUAUUUUAUGUUUUUGCAGAGAGACUUCGGUCUCGCUAGUAGUUUCACGUGGACUUCGACGUUUAGCUUGAUACCUCAGCUACGAUCUUGUGCCCCGGCAGGAUCUGAUAGAUAGUCAGGCUUCUCAGCCUUUUUCAUUUAUAGAUGUCUGUACUCAGACAUGAUAGCUUCCGCUUGUGCUUUGACUUGUAUGCUCUGAGUGUUGGGUCAUGAGACCCAUGUUUGUAAUAUCUCGCUCCUCGGAGCCUAAUGAAUAAAGUACUUGUGUCGUAGAGUCAUGUUGUGAUGCUUUGUUGUAUUUGCACAUAUCGAGCAUACUGUGUGUGUGAUUGAAAUGCUUGGUAUGUGUGGGAUCUGACUAUCUAGUUGUUUAUCUUUAGUAGCCUCUCUUACCGGGAAAUGUCUCCUAGUGUUACCGCUGAGCCAUGGUAGCUUGCUACUGCUCUGGAACACUUAGGCUGGCCGGCAUGUGUCCUUCUUCGUUCCUGUGUCUGUCCCUUCGGGGAAAUGUCACGCUUUGAGUACCGGAGUCCUGUUAGCCCGCUACAGCCCGGUUUACCGGAGUCCUGCUAGCCCAGUGCUACAGCCCGGACCCACUUGCUGAUGACCGGCACGUUCGAAGCUGGGUCAUGGAUGCCUGUCCCUGUAAGUCUGUGCCACUUUGGGUUUACGACUAGUCAUGUCAGCCCGGGCUCUUUAUCAUAUGGAUGCUAGCGACACUAUCAUAUACGUGAGCCAAAAGGCGCAAACGGUCCCGGGCAAAGGUAAGGCGACACCCGUGGGGAUACCGUGCGUGAGGCCGCAAAGUGAUAUGAGGUGUUACCGGCUAGAUCGAUGUGACAUCGAGUCGGGGUCCUGACAUGCAACCUUCGAGAUUUCAACCAUUUAACUUCUCUGACCAGUUAUUGUUAUGCAUUAUAUACAGGUCAUCUGUAAAUCCUAAAAAGGUUGACAUUCUUGAAGGAAUGCAUGUUACAAGGUAAUUGCACGAAAUCAACAUGUAAAUGUUGUGGCAUCCUCUAUUCAUACUAUUAUUCUAUACUAAGCUCAGAACAAUUCUGCAGUGUUGGUUGUGGAGUUGGGAUGUCUCUGAUUGUUGUAGACAGGGCAAAUGUUGGUGGUAAGCUUGACCAGGUAACUAACUGGGAUUUCAUGCACGAGCUGUUUACUCGCUUGAAGUUACUGACAGGGUAAAGAUUUAAUGCAAUUUAUUAAAAAAAUUUGUGCAAAACAAAAGAUACGGGUUGAAUAAAUCAGCAGCAUGACUUUGGGUAGUGUAGUGAGCUAUGUGUGUUAACAUGCAUUAAACAUCUCCUAAACCAACUACUCAAAGCAUAUCAAUAUUAGUAACAGAGCCAGGUGAUUAAUCACAGGCACAUGCUAAUGAUGAGGAGUUAACUUUUAGGAGGUAACAGUGAAACAAAAAUGUCUUGGAGUUAUUGAUCCAUAAACCUUUUUUGAGAAAUUGUUUGUCAAUUUAAAAAGUGUCAUUUACUCAUAAUACCUGCCUCCCUCUUCUCUUUGGUUGUCAAGUUGUCACAUCUUGUAGUGCUUAGAUUGACAAUAACAUGUUUCUACACCCAGGAAUGCGACUAGUUUACUUACUACCUUCUUUUUACGAGAACAGUAGAGUACUCAACAGGACAUACUAGUUAACUGUACCCCAUAAUAUGGAUGUUCUG